This 366-nucleotide RNase P RNA is filed under the name Gammaproteobacteria bacterium. Its description in RNAcentral is "RNase P RNA component class A". It matches the Rfam family "Bacterial RNase P class A". Rfam says of the family: Ribonuclease P (RNase P) is a ubiquitous endoribonuclease, found in archaea, bacteria and eukarya as well as chloroplasts and mitochondria. Its best characterised activity is the generation of mature 5'-ends of tRNAs by cleaving the 5'-leader elements of precursor-tRNAs. Cellular RNase Ps are ribonucleoproteins. Lineage: Bacteria; Pseudomonadati; Pseudomonadota; Gammaproteobacteria. The record is from RNAcentral.
GAAGCUGGCCAGGCAAUCGCUGUCGAUGAUUAUCUUUGAUAAUUUUCGGGGGAGGAAAGUCCGGACUUCAGAGGGCAAGGUGCCAGGUAACGCCUGGGAGGCGAGAGCCUAUGGAAAGUGCCACAGAAAAUAUACCGCCCGUUCACUUUUAAAGUGGAUGGGUAAGGGUGAAAUGGUGCGGUAAGAGCGCACCGCGCUGAUGGUGACAUCAGUGGCAGGGUAAACCCCACCUGAAGCAAGACCAAAUAGGGAUCCUGAGGCGUGGCCCACGCUGGAUCCGGGUAGGUCGCAUGAGGUUUGUGGUGACACAGAUCCCAGAUGAAUGAUUGUCCAAGACAGAAUCCGGCUUAUCGGCCAGCUUCAUUU